This 440-nucleotide ribosomal RNA is filed under the name uncultured bacterium. RNAcentral's name for it is "partial 16S ribosomal RNA". It matches the Rfam family "Bacterial small subunit ribosomal RNA", at positions 338 to 795 of the family's 1533-position model. The record is from RNAcentral.
CCUACGGGAGGCAGCAGUGGGGGAUAUUGCACAAUGGGGGGAACCCUGAUGCAGCGACGCCGCGUGGGUGAAGAAGCGCCUCGGCGCGUAAAGCCCUGUCAGCAGGGAAGAAAAUGACGGUACCUGAAGAAGAAGCCCCGGCUAACUACGUGCCAGCAGCCGCGGUAAUACGUAGGGGGCAAGCGUUAUCCGGAUUUACUGGGUGUAAAGGGGGCGCAGACGGCGAUGCAAGCCAGGAGUGAAAGCCCGGGGCCCAACCCCGGGACUGCUCUUGGAACUGCGUGGCUGGAGUGCAGGAGGGGCAGGCGGAAUUCCUGGUGUAGCGGUGAAAUGCUUAGAGAUCAUACAGAACACCGAUUGCGAAGGCAGCUUACCAAACUAUAUCUGACGUUGAGGCACGAAAGCGUGGGUAGCAAACAGGAUUAGAUACCCUAGUAGUC